This 206-nucleotide signal recognition particle RNA is filed under the name Actinomycetota bacterium. Its description in RNAcentral is "partial signal recognition particle sRNA large type". It matches the Rfam family "Bacterial large signal recognition particle RNA", at positions 59 to 256 of the family's 256-position model. Rfam says of the family: The signal recognition particle (SRP) is a universally conserved ribonucleoprotein involved in the co-translational targeting of proteins to membranes. Archaeal SRP consists of a 7S RNA and homologues of the eukaryotic SRP19 and SRP54 proteins. Lineage: Bacteria; Bacillati; Actinomycetota. The record is from RNAcentral.
AAGUCCCUCCCGAGGGGGUGGCUUCGAGGUAGGGCUAACGCACGCGAGUGUUGACGGCCAGGUCCCGCGCACCGAGACCCUGCGAACCGCGUCAGGUCCGGGAGGAAGCAGCGCUAAGCGGAGCGUCUCGGGGGCCGCGGAGAAGCCUGACCCGAGCAAGCGGCGGAGGCACCGCCUCGAAAGCGUCCUCGACGGCGGGUGUGCGG